Molecule: ribosomal RNA, 253 nt
Filed under: uncultured bacterium
Lineage: Bacteria
Description: partial 16S ribosomal RNA
Rfam family: Bacterial small subunit ribosomal RNA
Source: RNAcentral
UACGGAGGAUGCGAGCGUUAAUCGGAAUUACUGGGCGUAAAGCGUGCGCAGGCGGUUUUGUAAGUCUGACGUGAAAUCCCCGGGCUCAACCUGGGAAUUGCGUUGGAGACUGCAAGGCUAGAAUCUGGCAGAGGGGGGUAGAAUUCCACGUGUAGCAGUGAAAUGCGUAGAGAUGUGGAGGAACACCGAUGGCGAAGGCAGCCCCCUGGGUCAAGAUUGACGCUCAUGCACGAAAGCGUGGGGAGCAAACAGG